Molecule: ribosomal RNA, 253 nt
Filed under: uncultured bacterium
Lineage: Bacteria
Description: partial 16S ribosomal RNA
Rfam family: Bacterial small subunit ribosomal RNA
Source: RNAcentral
AACGUAGGUGGCUAACGUUAUCCGGAUUUACUGGGCGUAAAGAGUGCGUAGGCGGCCAUGUAAGUCAGAUGUAAAAUCUCCUGGCUCAACUGGGAGGGACCAUCUGAUACUGCGUGGCUAGAGUACAACAGAGGAAAGUGGAAUUCCCGGUGUAGUGGUGGAAUGCGUAGAUAUCGGGAGGAACACCUGUGGCGAAAGCGGCUUUCUGGGUUGUUACUGACGCUGUUGCACGAAAGCGUGGGGAGCAAACAGG